CCAAAAGAAUCUGGGAACAUGCUUUCAGAUUCGCCCAAGGAUGAGACUGCGGCCGAUCAGGUUGUUGGUGGGGUAACGGCCUACCAAGCCUAUGACCGGUACGGGCCCUGAGAGCGGUAGCCCGGAGAUGGGCACUGAGACAAGGGCCCAGGCCCUACGGGGCGCAGCAGUCGCGAAAACUUCGCAAUAGGCGAAAGCUUGACGAGGCCAUCCCGAGUGCCAUCUGCUGAGGAUGGCUUUUACCUAGUGUAGAUAGCUGGGGGAAUAAGGAGAGGGCAAGUCUGGUGUCAGCCGCCGCGGUAAUACCAGCUCUCCGAGUUGUGGGGAUGUUUAUUGGGCCUAAAGCAUCCGUAGCCGGCUGGGCAAGUCCUCUGUUAAACCCAGCGAUCAAUCGUUGGCUUGCGGGGGAUACUGUCCGGCUAGGGGGCGGGAGAGGCCGUCGGUAUUCUCGGGGUAGGGGUGAAAUCCUAUAAUCCCGGGAGGACCACCAGUGGCGAAGGCUGUCGGCUAGAACGCGCCCGACGGUGAGGGAUGAAAGCUGGGGGAGCGAACCGGAUUAGAUACCCGGGUAGUCCCAGCUGUAAACGAUGCAGGCUAGGUGUUAGGGCGGCUACGUGCCGCUCUAGUGCCGCAGGGAAGCUGUUAAGCCUGCCGCCUGGGGAGUACGGCCGCAAGGCUGAAACUUAAAGGAAUUGGCGGGGGAGCACCACAAGGGGUGAAGCUUGCGGUUUAAUUGGAGUCAACGCCGGG
This 750-nucleotide ribosomal RNA is filed under the name uncultured archaeon. Its description in RNAcentral is "bacterial SSU rRNA". It matches the Rfam family "Archaeal small subunit ribosomal RNA", at positions 187 to 922 of the family's 1478-position model. The record is from RNAcentral.